Long non-coding RNA from Oncorhynchus keta (chum salmon), 289 nucleotides. RefSeq lists it as uncharacterized. The transcript is spliced from 3 exons. The record is from RefSeq and is a predicted model, not a curated record. NCBI's taxonomy places the organism in Eukaryota, Metazoa, Chordata, Actinopteri, Salmoniformes, Salmonidae.
UCCCAGAGUUAAUGAUCCCAGGUCAGUUUAUAUUAUACAGGAAGUAUUAUUAAAGAGAUGGAGUAGUCCCAGAGUUAAUGAUCCCAGGUCAGUUUAUAUUAUACAGGAAGUAUUAUUAAAGAGAUGUAGUAGUCCCAGAGUUAAUGAUCCCAGGUCAGUUUAUAUUAUACAGGAAGUAUUAUUAAAGAGAUGGAGUAGUCCCAGAGUUAAUGAUCCCAGGUCAGUUUAUAUUAUACAGGAAGUAUUAUUAAAGAGAUGUAGUAGUCCCAGAGUUAAUGAUCCCAGGUCA